UAAAUUGAGGCCAAAUGAUAGGCGCUUAGCUGUUAACUAAGAGGAAGUGAGAUAAAAACUCACCAAUUUAG
RNAcentral lists this transfer RNA (71 nucleotides) under Caluromys lanatus (western woolly opossum). RNAcentral's name for it is "tRNA-Asn". Lineage: Eukaryota; Metazoa; Chordata; Mammalia; Didelphimorphia; Didelphidae. The record is from RNAcentral.